Unclassified non-coding RNA from Otolemur garnettii (small-eared galago), 102 nucleotides. It matches the Rfam family "Y RNA". From Rfam's summary of the family: Y RNAs are components of the Ro ribonucleoprotein particle (Ro RNP), in association with Ro60 and La proteins. The Y RNAs and Ro60 and La proteins are well conserved, but the function of the Ro RNP is not known. The record is from Ensembl. NCBI's taxonomy places the organism in Eukaryota, Metazoa, Chordata, Mammalia, Primates, Galagidae.
GGCUUGUCUGAAUAGAGUGGUGUUUAUAGCUAACUGAUAACAACUGGUUACAAAUUUCUUUGUUACUUCUCUACUCCCAUUGCUUCACUUGACUAACCUUUU